GUGGGGAAUCUUCCGCAAUAGACGAAAGUCUGACGGAGCGACGCCGCGUGAGUGAAGAAGGCCUUCGGGUCGUAAAGCUCUGUCAUCAGGGACGAACGGCCGGUGGAGUGGAAAGCCACCGGAUUGACGGUACCUGAGAAGGAAGCCACGGCUAACUACGUGCCAGCAGCCGCGGUAAUACGUAGGUGGCAAGCGUUGUCCGGAAUUAUUGGGCGUAAAGCGCGCGCAGGUGGGAUCUUAAGUCCAUUUUUAAAGUUCGGAGCUCAACUCCGUGAUGGGAUGGAAACUGGGAUUCUUGAGUACCGGAGAGGAGAGCGGAAUUCCCCGUGUAGCGGUGAAAUGCGUAGAUAUGGGGAGGAACACCAGUGGCGAAGGCGGCUUUCUGGACGGUGUCUGACACUGAGGCGCGAAAGCCAGGGGAGCGAACGGGAUUAGAUACCCCUGUAGUCC
Molecule: ribosomal RNA, 450 nt
Filed under: uncultured bacterium
Lineage: Bacteria
Description: partial 16S ribosomal RNA
Rfam family: Bacterial small subunit ribosomal RNA
Source: RNAcentral